Molecule: ribosomal RNA, 252 nt
Filed under: uncultured bacterium
Lineage: Bacteria
Description: partial 16S ribosomal RNA
Rfam family: Bacterial small subunit ribosomal RNA
Source: RNAcentral
UACGAAGGGGGCUAGCGUUGUUCGGAAUUACUGGGCGUAAAGCGCACGUAGGCGGAUUGUUAAGUUAGGGGUGAAAUCCCAGGGCUCAACCCUGGAACUGCCUUUAAUACUGGCAAUCUCGAGUCCGAGAGAGGUGAGUGGAAUUCCGAGUGUAGAGGUGAAAUUCGUAGAUAUUCGGAGGAACACCAGUGGCGAAGGCGGCUCACUGGCUCGGUACUGACGCUGAGGUGCGAAAGCGUGGGGAGCAAACAG